Molecule: ribosomal RNA, 253 nt
Filed under: uncultured bacterium
Lineage: Bacteria
Description: partial 16S ribosomal RNA
Rfam family: Bacterial small subunit ribosomal RNA
Source: RNAcentral
UGCAGGGGGGUGCGAGCGUUGUCCGGAAUCACUGGGCGUAAGGGCGCGUAGGUGGCGUGAUAAGGGUGUGGUGAAAGCCCGGGGCUCAACCCCGGGUCUGCCAUGCCGACUGUCAGGCUCGAGUACUGUAGGGGCAGGCGGAAUUCCGGGUGUAGCGGUGGAAUGCGUAGAGAUCCGGAGGAAGACCGGUGGUGAAGGCGGACUGCUGGGCAGUUACUGACACUGAGGCGCGACAGCGUGGGGAGCAAACAGG